CGGUUCGCGAUUCAGUUCAAUCACUCACUCCUGCGCCUCUGAGUCGUUUGAAGCGGUUAGCGUUAUUUUAGAGCAGGACAUGAUCUGAAAAACGUGGAUAUUUUGCCCACAGUCCACAGAAACAAACUCAAACUUCAUCCAGUGUUUUCCCAGUUACGGAAGAUAUCUUGUGAAGUAGAAGUAGCCGAACAGACCCCACUGCACGAGGAGCUUGAGGAACUUCAGGGAGAGUGCAUUAUGUGUAAAGAUUGGCGUCCACGGCGGGAUGAGGCCUUUCGGGUCAACAGAGGUGAUUUUGAACACAAAAGCUCUUCAGGCUGUCUGGAGGAAGUCAUGCGAGUCUCCAGAGAGGAACCUCAAUAAAGAAGCGGCCAGAGUAAAUAAUGACUGCUCCGCAUGGUGUUCCUGUCAUCGGCGGCCCAUCGCUGAGAUGAGCGAGGCUUUAAGCAGUAGGAGAUUUUAGCAGAAUUUCUUGGAACCUGCACCCCGGGACCAGAAUAGAGCAAACUUGAGUGAUAACGCAGACAUGAAGAUCUGACCUUGAGAGAUGGAUCGGCCUCUGAAAAGCGAGCCUGUAGCAGGAGCGUAAUAGCCACAAAUCAAUAUGUUUAAAAGGCAGCACAUUCCUCUGCAGAGACUGAUCAGCUGCGUAAAUUCAAGAGAUGCUUAUUCAAAUAUGGAGAUGGGUGUUAAGGCUUAUUUGAUGACCGAUGUUCUCGUCUAGCUCCUUGCAGACUCGAAAUGGCAAUCUGGACAAUUAGACUAUCCUGUUGACGCAGAUUGGAAUAUAAUAAGAUGAAGGACAUAUAAUAGCCCAAUGUGUGCAGUCCAUUUAGGCAGUGGAACAUUUGCAUUGCACUUUACAGUAAUACAAUGUGCUCUGUGAGUACAAACGUCUUCGCAGAAAUACUUUAAAGCUUUAUUUUGAUUAAGGAGAAGAGAUGAUAUGAGGAUGAAUGAGAUGACGUGUGCUUUAAUGGCUGCUGUGGUUUUAUUUUUUAACAAAAAAGGAAUGAAAUAUGAUAUGCACUGAUAAUCAGAACAGAUAUGAUAUUAGUGUAUAAAGCCUCUUUUGACUCAAACUGUUUGUUUUAAAAGUUUUUU
RNAcentral lists this long non-coding RNA (1104 nucleotides) under Danio rerio (zebrafish). RNAcentral describes it as "lncRNA (ENSDARG00000117357.1)". Lineage: Eukaryota; Metazoa; Chordata; Actinopteri; Cypriniformes; Danionidae. The record is from RNAcentral.